CCUACGGGAGGCAGCAGUGGGGAAUAUUGCACAAUGGGGGAAACCCUGAUGCAGCGACACCGCGUGGGUGAAGAAGCAUUUCGGUAUGUAAAGCUCUAUCAGCAGGGAAGAAAAAGACCGUUACCGAAUGAGAAGCCCCGGCCAACUACCGGCCAGCCGCCGGGGUAAUACGUAGGGGGCAAGCGUUAUCCGGAUUUACUGGGUGGAAAGGGUGCGGAGACGGGAGUACAAGGCUGGAGGGAAAGGCCGGGGCUUAACCCCGGAACUGCAUUGGAAACUGUUCAACUAGAGUGCAGGAGAGGUAAGUGGAAUUCCUAGUGUAGCGGUGAAAUGCGUAGAUAUUAGGAGGAACACCAGUGGCGAAGGCGGCUUACUGGACUGUAACUGACGUUGAGGCUCGAAAGCGUGGGGAGCAAACAGGAUUAGAUACCCCAGUAGUC
This 440-nucleotide ribosomal RNA is filed under the name uncultured bacterium. RNAcentral's name for it is "partial 16S ribosomal RNA". It matches the Rfam family "Bacterial small subunit ribosomal RNA", at positions 338 to 795 of the family's 1533-position model. The record is from RNAcentral.